RNAcentral lists this ribosomal RNA (116 nucleotides) under Nicotiana attenuata. Lineage: Eukaryota; Viridiplantae; Streptophyta; Magnoliopsida; Solanales; Solanaceae. The record is from RNAcentral.
UUUGGCGAUCAUACCAGCACUAACGCAACGGAUCCCAUUAUAAUUCCGAAGUUAAGCGCGCUUGGACUGGAGUAGUACUAGGAUGGCUGACCCCAUGGGUCCUCGUGUUGCAUCCC